GCUUACAGGGCCUUACCAGACGAACGAUCCGUAACGUUCGGGAAGAUGAUCGCCACAUUGGACUGAGAACACGUCCCAGAUUCCUACGGGAGGCAGCAGUGGGGAUAUUGACAUUGGGGGACCUGAUCAGGCAAUGCCGCGGUGUGGUGAGAAGCCUUUGGUGUUAAAGCACUUUAAAGUGGGGGAGGAGGCUUACCUUGGUUAAUACUUGGGCUAAGUGGACGUUACCACAGAAUAAGCACCGGGCUAACUCUGUGCCAGCAGCCGCGGUAAUACAGAGGGUGCGAGCGUUAAUCGGAUUUACUGGGCGUAAAGCGCGCGUAGGUGGUUAAUUAAGUCAAAUGUGAAAUCCCCGAGCUUAACUUGGGAAUUGCAUUCGAUACUGGUUAGCUAGAGUAUGGGAGAGGAUGGUAGAAUUCCAGGUGUAGCGGUGAAAUGCGUAGAGAUCUGGAGGAAUACCGAUGGCGAAGGCAGCCAUCUGGCCUAAUACUGACACUGAGGUGCGAAAGCAUGGGGAGCAAACAGGAUUAGAUACCCUGGUAGUCCAUGCCGUAAACGAUGUCUACUAGCCGUUGGGGGAUUUGAUCCUUUAGUGGCGCAGCUAACGCGAUAAGUAGACCGCCUGGGGAGUACGGUCGCAAGACUAAAACUCAAAUGAAUUGACGGGGGCCCGCACAAGCGGUGGAGCAUGUGGUUUAAUUCGAUGCAACGCGAAGAACCUUACCUGGCCUUGACAUAGUAGAAACUUUCCAGAGAUGGAUUGGUGCCUUCGGGAAUCUACAUACAGGUGCUGCAUGGCUGUCGUCAGCUCGUGUCGUGAGAUGUUGGGUUAAGUCCCGCAACGAGCGCAACCCUUUUCCUUACUUGCCAGCAUUUCGGAUGGGAACUUUAAGGAUACUGCCAGUGACAAACUGGAGGAAGGCGGGGACGACGUCAAGUCAUCAUGGCCCUUACGGCCAGGGCUACACACGUGCUACAAUGGUCGGUACAAAGGGUUGCUACACAGCGAUGUGAUGCUAAUCUCAAAAAGCCGAUCGUAGUCCGGAUCGCAGUCUGCAACUCGACUGCGUGAAGUCGGAAUCGCUAGUAAUCGCGGAUCAGAAUGCCGCGGUGAAUACGUUCCCGGGCCUUGUACACACCGCCCGUCACACCAUGGGAGUUUGUGCACCAGAAGUAGGUAGUCUAACCGCAAGGAGGACCGCUUACCCCUUUUGUUGUCCCCCG
Molecule: ribosomal RNA, 1224 nt
Filed under: Acinetobacter sp. ACT126
Lineage: Bacteria; Pseudomonadati; Pseudomonadota; Gammaproteobacteria; Moraxellales; Moraxellaceae
Description: bacterial SSU rRNA
Rfam family: Bacterial small subunit ribosomal RNA
Source: RNAcentral